UGCCAGCCGCCGCGGUAAGACGGAAGGAGCAAACGCUAUUCGGAUUUACUGGGCGUAAAGCGCGUGUAGGUGGAAUAAACAGUUAUGUGUGAAAUCCCAAAGCUCAACUUUGGAACUGCAUAUAAUACUAUUAUUCUAGAGUUUGGUAGAGGAUGAUGGAAUUCCUAGUGGAGAGGUGAAAUUCAUUGAUAUUAGGAGGAACACCAGUGGCGAAAGCGAUCAUCUGGGCCAAUACUGACAUUGAGACGCGAAAGCGUGGGUAGCAAACAGGAUUAGAUA
This 279-nucleotide ribosomal RNA is filed under the name uncultured bacterium. RNAcentral describes it as "partial 16S ribosomal RNA". It matches the Rfam family "Bacterial small subunit ribosomal RNA", at positions 506 to 784 of the family's 1533-position model. The record is from RNAcentral.